CUACGGGGGGCAGCAGGCGAGAAAACUUUGCAAUGUGCGAAAGCACGACAAGGUUAAUCCGAGUGGUUUGUGCUAAACGAACCUUUUGACAGUCCUAGAAACACUGUUGAAUAAGGGGUGGGCAAGUUCUGGUGUCAGCCGCCGCGGUAAAACCAGCACCUCAAGUGGUCAGGAUGAUUAUUGGGCCUAAAGCAUCCGUAGCCGGCUCUGUAAGUUUUCGGUUAAAUCUGUACGCUCAACGUACAGGCUGCCGGGAAUACUGCAGAGCUAGGGAGUGGGAGAGGUAGACGGUACUCGGUAGGAAGGGGUAAAAUCCUUUGAUCUAUUGAUGACCACCUGUGGCGAAGGCGGUCUACCAGAACACGUCCGACGGUGAGGGAUGAAAGCUGGGGGAGCAAACCGGAUUAGAUACCCGAGUAGUC
RNAcentral lists this ribosomal RNA (422 nucleotides) under uncultured archaeon. RNAcentral's name for it is "partial 16S ribosomal RNA". It matches the Rfam family "Archaeal small subunit ribosomal RNA", at positions 323 to 746 of the family's 1478-position model. The record is from RNAcentral.